GAUUUUCCGCAAUGGGCGAAAGCCUGACGGAGCAAUACCGCGUGAGGGAGGAAGGCUCUUGGGUUGUAAACCUCUUUUCUCAGGGAAGAAAAAAAUGACGGUACCUGAGGAAUAAGCAUCGGCUAACUCCGUGCCAGCAGCCGCGGUAAUACGGAGGAUGCAAGCGUUAUCCGGAAUGAUUGGGCGUAAAGGGUCCGCAGGUGGCAUUGUAAGUCUGCUGUUAAAGAGUCUAGCUCAACUAGAUAAAAGCAGUGGAAACUACAAAGCUAGAGUACGUUCGGGGCAGAGGGAAUUCCUGGUGUAGCGGUGAAAUGCGUAGAUAUCAGGAAGAACACCGGUGGCGAAAGCGCUCUGCUAGGCCGUAACUGACACUGAGGGACGAAAGCUAGAGGAGCGAAUGGGAUUAGAUACCCCAGUAGUCCUAGCCGUAAACGAUGGAUACUAGGUGUGGCUUGUAUCGACCCGAGCCGUACCGGAGCUAACGCGUUAAGUAUCCCGCCUGGGGAGUACGCAGGCAACUGUGAAACUCAAAGGAAUUGACGGGGGCCCGCACAAGCGGUGGAGUAUGUGGUUUAAUUCGAUGCAACGCGAAGAACCUUACCAAGGCUUGACAUGUCACGAAUUCUGUUGAAAGAUGGAAGUGCCUUAGGGAGCGUGAACACAGGUGGUGCAUGGCUGUCGUCAGCUCGUGUCGUGAGAUGUUGGGUUAAGUCCCGCAACGAGCGCAACCCUCGUCUUUAGUUGCCAGCAUGAAAGAUGGGAACUCUAGAGAGACUGCCGGUGACAAACCGGAGGAAGGUGGGGAUGACGUCAAGUCAGCAUGCCCCUUACGCCUUGGGCUACACACGUACUACAAUGCUCCGGACAAAGGGCAGCUACACAGCGAUGUGAUGCAAAUCUCAUAAACCGGAGCUCAGUUCAGAUCGAAGGCUGCAACUCGCCUUCGUGAAGGAGGAAUCGCUAGUAAUUGCAGGUCAGCAUACUGCAGUGAAUUCGUUCCCGGGCCUUGUACACACCGCCCGUCACACCAUGGAAGUUGGUCACGCCCGAAGUCAUUACCCCAACCGCAAGGGGGGGGAUGCCUAAGGUAGGACUGAUGACUGGGGUGAAGUCGUAACAGGUUAGCCGUAA
This 1131-nucleotide ribosomal RNA is filed under the name Anabaena sp. Soos V4. RNAcentral describes it as "bacterial SSU rRNA". It matches the Rfam family "Bacterial small subunit ribosomal RNA", at positions 359 to 1505 of the family's 1533-position model. Lineage: Bacteria; Bacillati; Cyanobacteriota; Cyanophyceae; Nostocales; Nostocaceae. The record is from RNAcentral.